Molecule: long non-coding RNA, 813 nt
Organism: Alligator sinensis (Chinese alligator)
Lineage: Eukaryota; Metazoa; Chordata; Crocodylia; Alligatoridae
Exons: 3
Source: RefSeq, a predicted model, not a curated record
GCUAUGAGUAAGUGCAAAGAGACGCACGCAUUCCUGCUAGGAAGGACGUCUUUGUCAGAGAGACGGCAGCUUCUGCAGAGAAACAGCUGGGGCCAUUACAGAUCCCUGCUUCACACAUGGCAAAAUACAGAGGCAAAGCAAAACCACGCUUGGGUGCCUGAAGGUCCAGCAUCGGGACGUGGCGGAGAGGCCACGGUGGCCAGCAGGGAUGCCAGCUCAGGGUUGCCGCCACCCACCUCCGGGCCCUUCUGGAUGUGCAGUUAUGCCAGAGGCGCACCAUUGACCGGACUCUCCUUCUCCAGUGGCUGGUGGUGGAGUUCAGUAUCCUAGGCACUUAUCUCUGACAAUGGAACAAAGCCUGGUUUGGAUCCAUUAGUGGUGAUUUGGGCUGUGAUGACCGCUCUCUGUCAGACCUCGCAGUCCUCAUCCUCCAAGGAAAUUUACAAAGCACCUUCCAAAGACGCGCCCAUGAACUCAACGCCAUCACCGCUCUGGACACGAAAAAUCAUGGACUGAACAGAGACAGGAGCUAUUGUCCUCACUACAGUCUGCCUAAACCCCAACCAUACCGGGUACUCAUACCAUAACCCACCAAAAAAAUAUUUUUCCUGCCCUCCUUGCUCAAUGCAGAAAGUAUGAUUGGCUUCAGAGCAAUGCAGCUGCCAUAUCCACUUGCACAGACUAUGGACAGAUUCCCCAGUAUACACAGGGGAGUCACCCCCUCCUGCACUCCACUUAGCUUGAAAAAGGAUGCCGUGCUAUCCAAAAGCUUGCCAGAAACAUCAACCCACCUCCAAGUUGGUCUAAUAAAAG